This 466-nucleotide ribosomal RNA is filed under the name uncultured bacterium. RNAcentral's name for it is "partial 16S ribosomal RNA". It matches the Rfam family "Bacterial small subunit ribosomal RNA", at positions 338 to 795 of the family's 1533-position model. The record is from RNAcentral.
CCUACGGGAGGCAGCAGUAGGGAAUCUUCCACAAUGGGCGAAAGCCUGAUGGAGCAACGCCGCGUGGGUGAAGAAGGUCUUCGGAUCGUAAAACCCUGUUGUUAGAGAAGAAAGUGCGUGAGAGUAACUGUUCACGUUUCGACGGUAUCUAACCAGAACGCCACGGCUAACUACGUGCCAGCAGCCGCGGUAAUACGUAGGUGGCAAGCGUUAUCCGGAUUUAUUGGGCGUAAAGGGAACGCAGGCGGUUAUACAAGUUAGAAGUGAAAUACCCAGGGCUUAACUCGGGUGCUGCUUCUAAAACGGUAAGACUUGAGUGCAGUAGAGGUUAGUGGAAUGCCUAGUGUAGCGGUGGAAUGCGUAGAUAUUAGGAGGAACACCAGAGGCGAAGGCGGCUAACUGGACUGCAACUGACGCUGAGGCACGAAAGUGUGGGGAGCAAACAGGAUUAGAUACCCGGGUAGUC